AAGACGGGUCAGGGAUCUGAGGACGGAUAAUUCCUCACCCCGGAUGGUGGGAUUAAGGUCCACAUCAUGUCGCCAAGUGUCUCAAGUGUCUCCAUGAUAUAGUGGUAGAGGUGAAACCCAUGAGUGUUAGGUGCUGAGCCACACCCUCUGUACGACACUGGGAGAUUCUGGGCAGAGGCUCCACCCCUGAGCCACACCCCGUAGCUUCGUUGUUUUUUUUGUUUUAAUUACCAAAGGAGAACGAAGAGUUCUGGUAAUCCAGAAACAUAUGUUCACAAGGAUCAGUCAGCCUUACCUUCCAUAACUUUGCCGACGUAUUUCUAUUUAUGGCAUCGUUUGCUGAUUAAAUACAUUUAUUUUUCCUUC
Molecule: long non-coding RNA, 366 nt
Filed under: Rattus norvegicus (Norway rat)
Lineage: Eukaryota; Metazoa; Chordata; Mammalia; Rodentia; Muridae
Description: long non-coding RNA NONRATT011383
Source: RNAcentral